ACAACAGUGUAGAAAACCAAUUAGGGAAGGGUAGGUAUAUGUAAAAUAGGUGAAGGGUGAGGAUCAAUCAGAAGAAAGCCACCAAAUGGGAAAAGAGACUCUCAAUCCAGACCAUGGAUUUGACUCAUAGCUUGGCUUCCAGGCUUUAAACUGUCUCGGCUUGAAGGUCUCAGGUUCAAGGACAAUUGCCUGAAAGAGACCUCUUCUGAUCUCACCUUGUUCACAACGGUAAUCACAAUCUACAAGGUUAUUUGUUCUCUGAAAAACCUAACUAUUGAAUGAGCUGGAUUUGGUGUAUGAAAGCAGAAAACAAUUUUCUAUUAACCUUGAUCUCUUAACUCAUUAUCCUCCACACUGGGUAAUCCUAUUGCUUCUUCAGCUUCUCUCAGAUAUUAAAAUUCCAAUCCAGUGAAACA
Long non-coding RNA from Pan troglodytes (chimpanzee), 416 nucleotides. RefSeq lists it as uncharacterized. The transcript is spliced from 2 exons. Lineage: Eukaryota; Metazoa; Chordata; Mammalia; Primates; Hominidae. The record is from RefSeq and is a predicted model, not a curated record.